Molecule: non-coding RNA, 578 nt
Organism: Thamnophis sirtalis
Lineage: Eukaryota; Metazoa; Chordata; Lepidosauria; Squamata; Natricidae
Source: RefSeq, a predicted model, not a curated record
GGGAUGGGUGAUAACUUCCUACAGUCCAGAAAAAUUGCAGACUACAGGAACCACUUGCACUUCAGUUUGAGAUUUAGACAACAAAGACUCAACCCCAAGAAAGUUGCCUCUUGAAAAAAAGCACCUUUGGGCCAAGAAUAGAAACUAGGCAAUGUUUUUCUACCCUCUGGUGUUUCAUUGCCAUGCACUCUGCCUGCAAUAAAAGGCAAUAUCCAACAAUGUUAAAUGUGAUUACGUUAAGGCUAUAAUAUGGAAUUUCUGAAAUGACGACAGGGACAAUUCCAAGCCCAGAACACGUCAGUGUUUCUGUUUUUGUUUGAUGAUACCUUGUGAACUGUUCAGAAUUCACCGACUGUUUUAACAUUAAAAGUUAAAACAAGAGCACGAUGAAAGCCUGAAUAUCAUUCACAGGAAAUGCAGUCACAUGCAGUAGACAUUUUGGUGAGUAACAAUAAAAGUUAAUAAAAAAAUAGGGCCUGAGCAUCCUAUUUGGGAUGGAGGAAUAUUAAUGAAAGUAAUGAUCCAUUGUGCAAAAUGCACAUUUUUGCCAUUGCCUUUAAUUAAAUGGAUUCCAGAAA